This 428-nucleotide ribosomal RNA is filed under the name uncultured bacterium. Its description in RNAcentral is "bacterial SSU rRNA". It matches the Rfam family "Bacterial small subunit ribosomal RNA", at positions 355 to 775 of the family's 1533-position model. The record is from RNAcentral.
UGGGGAAUCUUGGGCAAUGGGGGAAACCCUGACCCAGCGACGCCGCGUGGGGGAUGAAGGCCUUCGGGUUGUAAACCCCUGUUCGGUGGGACGAACAUUUUCCCAUGAAUAGUGGGAGAAUUUGACGGUACCACCAGAGUAAGCCCCGGCUAACUCCGUGCCAGCAGCCGCGGUAAUACGGAGGGGGCAAGUGUUGUUCGGAAUUACUGGGCGUAAAGGGCGCGCAGGCGGCUUGGCAAGUCGAGUGUGAAAUACCUCAGCUUAACUGAGGAACGGCGCUCGAAACUACCUCGCUUGAGGGCGGGAGAGGGAAGUGGAACUCUCGGUGUAGGGGUGAAAUCUGUAGAUAUCGAGAGGAACACCGGUGGCGAAGGCGGCUUCCUGGCCCGUACCUGACGCUGAGGCGCGAAAGCGUGGGGAGCAAACAG